UACAGAGGGUGCAAACGUUGUUCGGAUUUACUGGGCGUAAAGCGCGUGUAGGCGGCUUUGCAAGUCGGAUGUGAAAGCCCACGGCUCAACCGUGGAAGUGCAUCCGAAACUGCAUGGCUGGAGUCUCGGAGAGGAAGGUGGAAUGCUUGGUGUAGAGGUGAAAUGCGUAGAUAUCUGGAGGAACACCGGUGGCGAAGGCGGCAUCCUGGACCGGUAUUGACGCUGAGGCGCGAAAGCUAGGGGAGCAAACGGG
This 253-nucleotide ribosomal RNA is filed under the name uncultured bacterium. RNAcentral's name for it is "partial 16S ribosomal RNA". It matches the Rfam family "Bacterial small subunit ribosomal RNA", at positions 524 to 776 of the family's 1533-position model. The record is from RNAcentral.